CUUGGUUUCUUCUGGGGUCAUGAUCUCAGGGCAGUGGGAUGGAGGCCUGGGGCGGGCUCUGCUACUCUACUACUCUGGGUAGUCUGCUUGAGAUUCCCUCCUCCUGCUGUGUGUGCUCUCUCUCAAAUCAAUCAAUCAACCAAUCAAUCCAUACAUCCAUCCAUGAAUUUUUUUUUUUUUUUAAGAUUUUAUUUAUUUGACAGAGAUCACAAGUAGGCAGAGAGGCAGGCAGAGAGAGGAGGAAGCAGGCUCCCCGCCAAGCAGAGCCCCAUGCGGGGCUCGAUCCCAGGAUCCUGAGAUCAUGACCUGAGCCGAAGUCAGAGGUUUUAACCCACUGCGCCACCGAGGUGCCCCUCCACCAAUCCAUCUUUAAAAAGAGACACAGACGUCUCCUGUCUCCCGUCUUGAAGAACUUACAAAUUAAAGUAGGCAAACAUAAGCAAAUGUGGCAACCUACCCACUUGAGGUCCCCUUGAACUUCCUGCGCCACCCCAGUCUGGGCCAGGGACAAUCUGUGGACCCAGCAGAUAAAUGACUGUAGCUGAAGCCACCGCCUGUCUUCGUGUUCUACUGAGAUCAGGGCUCCCACCCCGCGCUCUCUACUGUCCCUGGUGGCGGAAACCGUCUUACCCCCAGCCCCACAGUGGCGCUGAGGAUGCGACCGCCUCCCAGCCGCUGUUGCUUGGACUACACUUCCCAUGAGCGGUUUCUCAACAUCGCGAGAGCCCUCGCGAGAUGUCCGAAAAGACCUUUGCGCAGGCGCGGCCCCGCUUUCUUUUCUGAGGCAGGCCGCGUGGCCAGGAGACAUGGCGGCUUCUCUCUGGGAAGAACGGAACGAGCAGUCUCGGGCCUUUGGCUGGGGCUUUUCUUGGGCGUCUGCGGAGACCCUGAGCGCCAGACCUGCAGGCUGAAGCUUAAAAGUACCAGAUGGAUCCCUGAAGUGGGUAAGGACGGGGCCCGGCAGGACCUGCGCGGACCUUCCGCACGCGAGGAAGUCCAGGUGGUGGGAAGGCCUGCCUCUCACUUUCUUCUGCUGUUCAGUUCGGUUUUAGGAGCACGUGGACGCCGGAGUCUCGUUGGGGUACAGUCCCAGCCUUGGUUUCCAAGGCUGGAAAGGAUCCUGCGGAGGCAGAUGGUGGCCAAGUCCACGGCCCUGGGCCCGAAGCGGAGACUUGUAUGUUCCCUCCUCCGCGACGCCAGAUGGAGCCGCGCUGCGUCUGUGCGAACUGUUCAUGCCCAUAAACUGAGGCCCCAGAGGGAGAACAGUUGA
Molecule: long non-coding RNA, 1270 nt
Filed under: Neogale vison (American mink)
Lineage: Eukaryota; Metazoa; Chordata; Mammalia; Carnivora; Mustelidae
Description: Neovison vison (American mink) lncRNA (ENSNVIG00000012950.1)
Source: RNAcentral